GCAGCCGCGGUAAUACGUAGGUGACAAGCGUUGUCCGGAUUUACUGGGUGUAAAGGGCGUGUAGGCGGGAUAGCAAGUCAGUCGUGAAAUACCGAAGCUCAACUUCGGAGCUGCGAUUGAAACUGUUAUUCUUGAGUAUCGGAGAGGAAAGCGGAAUUCCCAGUGUAGCGGUGAAAUGCGUAGAUAUUGGGAGGAACACCAGUGGCGAAGGCGGCUUUCUGGACGACAACUGACGCUGAGGCGCGAAAGUGUGGGGAGCAAACAGGAUUAGAUACCCC
Molecule: ribosomal RNA, 278 nt
Filed under: uncultured Oscillospiraceae bacterium
Lineage: Bacteria; Bacillati; Bacillota; Clostridia; Eubacteriales; Oscillospiraceae
Description: partial 16S ribosomal RNA
Rfam family: Bacterial small subunit ribosomal RNA
Source: RNAcentral